GGAUGUGGGGUCGAUCUGGCUGUGGCAUUUGUCACCCCAAUGAUUACCAGGAUUGAUCUGCUGGUCUGGCUGGCUAAGCGGGUGUCCCCUUCCUCCCUCACCAUCCUGUAUGCUCUGUCAAGAAGUUGGCCUUCCUUGACAGAAAAGGAUUAGUCUUUUCUCAGGCAGAUGAGAAGCUGCAGUCCCUUGCUGGAACCUCCAAAUUAGCCUCCAAAGUCCAUAUGUAGGAGGACAGAGGGAAGUCAGGCCUCCUAGAUUCCAAACACACCAGAUGAGGCAUUGCAUGUGACUGUUUGAUCUUUAGC
This 305-nucleotide small nuclear RNA is filed under the name Neotoma lepida (desert woodrat). RNAcentral describes it as "7SK RNA". It matches the Rfam family "7SK RNA". Rfam says of the family: 7SK was discovered as an abundant small nuclear RNA in the mid-70s but a possible function has only recently been suggested. The record is from Rfam by way of RNAcentral. Lineage: Eukaryota; Metazoa; Chordata; Mammalia; Rodentia; Cricetidae.